This is a long non-coding RNA of Mercenaria mercenaria, 1964 nucleotides long. RefSeq lists it as uncharacterized. The record is from RefSeq and is a predicted model, not a curated record. Lineage: Eukaryota; Metazoa; Mollusca; Bivalvia; Venerida; Veneridae. The transcript is spliced from 3 exons.
GCGGUGGACUUCAAUGGGAGAUGAUUUAUAUUGUAUAAAUAAUGUUUCCAGUACAUCAUCGUGUCACCCAAAGUUUCUGUUUUCGAAAAUAUGUGAGGUUGAGAGAAAAAAAUGUAUUUUUUUGUGGAUAACAUAGUUUCGGGUUUUAUAAACCCUCGAAGUUAUGCGGUUAUACUGAAUGAAUCGAAGCGAGAAGAGGAAAAUGUAUGAAAGUUAGACCCUACCGUAUUGUUUACACUUCCCAUCUGCGCUCUAAAUCGCAAUAAAAAUGAUAAUAAAAGCGCUAUGUGGUUAAAACAAUCAUUGCUAUGGAUGCAUUUUACCAUAAAAAAAGUUUCGUUAGGAAAAUUAGGGAGAUUUUUGUGGACUUCGGGAAAUUUGGAAGAGAAAACGUUGCCCUGUGUUUUCUAUGCGUGAAUAAAGUUUUUGUGUCUGAAUGAAACAUGAUACAGGUUAAUGUCACGUUAAUAAAUGUACAGGAGAGAGAUAGUACACUGCUCAUUUUUUACAUGAGAAACCGAAGGGUAUGUCACUUGACAGAUUAAAGCUGGAUGUUGCGGGGACAGGAGGUAUAGACUCACACCGGAGAGCCAGAGGAACAGCUCGCCUCCGAACUUAAAUUCUUUCGAACGUUCUGUUCUAACGGACAAAACCUCAGGACAGAUAUAAAAAAAAAUGUAAAGUGCAAUUGUUAGUUAAUUAAUUAGCAAAAAUGUAAGAACAUUUUGAUGAAAUGAAACUGUCAAAUUGUUGAUGUGAAUAUUUUUACGAGACUUUAGUACAAAAUAAAUGUUACAUUUUUAAACUAACAAGGAAAAAGUGAACAGCAUGAUGUUAAGAAGGGCCACAUUCUUUCCACCAGCAGACAAAAGGACGUUUCACCUUUGAAGUGGCUGGAUAAAUCAAUGCGCAAAACGGUUAGCCUUACAACAUCAUAUUGUUCGCGAAAAAUGGAUUAACAUCUGAGUUCUUGAAAAUUUAUAUUCGUCAAUAUACUUAACGUGGAUCAUAACAUAAAAUUGAAAUUUAACAUAGAAUCUGGUUGCUCCGCAGACUGCCUGCUUUUGUGGUCGUACCUGAUGGUUACGUGGACACAUUGGAUAUGAGUAAAAUAGAUGCAAACUCCCAUAAUACCACUGAAGUCAGUCCUGGAUACUAGUAUGCUAUAUAUACGGACGGAGAAAAGUUGUGGAGUGCUCAAUUACAGUUCAUGAAAGAGGACAGAAAUUUGAUAAAGCACUAUCAUCUUCCAACGGGCCGACCAUAAAAUUUUGGUAGGUGUUACUUUAUUAUUUAUAGACCUUUUCGUUCUGGUUCCCUGAGCUAUCUGUCAAUAAAGUACUGAUUACAUAGCUGAAGAAAUCGGGUACAAAAAUGGUGUUAAUUACAAAAUGGCAAUAAAAAAAUUGUUCCGGUCCCUGACUGAUAGAGUCGUUAAAGUUACAGGUGUUUUAAAAUAUCAUUUUGUCAAAAUUCACCCAAUUCUACUCAAAAUGAUAAUUACCAGGAGCGGUACAGCAUGACGUGUACUUGUCUGCGGUGCACCUGAUUUAGAGUAUGCUUCGAUCCUCAGGCGGGGCGUAUGUUUUGCGUGACGAUUUGCGAUGAUAAAACAUGUCUGAAAUCAUUUGCCCUCCACCUCUGAUUCAUGUGAGAAAGUUGGCUUUACUUGCGGAGAACAGGUUUGUACUGGUAUAGAAUCCAGGAACACUGGUUAGGUUAACUGCCCGACGUUAUAUAACUGAAAUACUGUUGAAAAUUGACUCCCCCUCCCCAAGAAAAAGACUAACAUUUAUAAAGGUACGAGUACAGGGAGCAUUCGUGUAUUUUUGGGUUUUGGACUCUCCUACCUUAAUAUAAAAUACACGCUGAUACUAUAGUAGUACUAACUGAUGGUAUCUCUAUGGACAAUCAAGCGGUGGAAAGAGCAAAAUCAUUAGUUUAAAAUAAAAUCAAAUUACAAA